Brassica napus (rape) is the source of this 1499-nucleotide long non-coding RNA. RefSeq lists it as uncharacterized. The transcript is spliced from 5 exons. The record is from RefSeq and is a predicted model, not a curated record. NCBI's taxonomy places the organism in Eukaryota, Viridiplantae, Streptophyta, Magnoliopsida, Brassicales, Brassicaceae.
AGAGGUUAAUGGUGGAGAUUACAAUGAGGAUGGAAGAGAGGGUUUGACAUGCUCCUCCUUAAUGCAAAGGUUUGUCUCUUCUAAUUUACUUGGUGAUAAAUUCUAGAUCUUUCAGUUCCUUCUCAUAAGCUGAUGAGCAGGUUUGUCUCCUAUAUUCCCUCAAUGAUAUCUUUUGGCGUCGAGCCUAAGGUGAUCGUAGCCACCAGCAUUAAUCCAAAAUUCGUCGGAGGUAGCUAUCUUGAACUUCAUCUUUAAAAGAAGUUUACAGUUCCAUAGUGAUAUGUAACCAUCUUUGUUAAUCUUCCAGGCCGUCUCUUACUGAAUACAACCUCUGGCACUCAUUUCUAUUUAGACAAAGACAAACGCAAGUGAGACCUUCAUCCGAUUUGGGUGUUGGUGACGUGAUCUGCUCCACAAGUUCCACCAAUUAUGAAGGUGUGAAGAAAAUUGAAGUUGUGACGGUCUUUGAGCUUAACGCAUACGUGGUUACCGAAUUUUGUGCACCGGAAAAAGGUGAGUUGAUUGAAACGGGCAGUGGCUGGUGCUACAUAUCCUGCUCUAAUGGGAUCUCUUCCUGCAUGUAGUGACUUAACCUCUGCUGGUGUUGUCAGAUAUCGUGUGGAGCUGUGCAUUUUAGAUGGUACAGAGUCUGCAGUGUUUGUUGUUUUCUAUGCCAAAAUUUCAUGGUUGACUAAUGUGCAUGCGGCGGAAAUCAGUGAACUUAUGGUAUGCUUGAGUGGCCACAUCUUAUCGCCUAGACUUUAUUUAUCAAGAAACAUGCCUUGACAGACAUUUUCUUUUUGCAGGGUGUUGGUGUGGGAGACUGUAGGGGCCGAGGUUCCACAAUUUCUGCAAAAUAUUGUUGGCAGAACGUUCACUUUCCAGUUGGAGCUAACUGAGUUAGCAUCAGACCUUCACUGUUACACGUAUCUUUGACCGCAUCAGCGUCCCCUCACAGCAACAUUUGCGAUUCAUGGUGGGCACAACUAUCCUGAUGACGAUUUGCAUGGUGACGAUAUAAGUUUCCUGCAAUUGCCUGAAGCAGAGGAUGUCUGAGAAGAUCAGAAGCCUACACAGAAGAAGAAGAGAAAAUGUUACUUGCUCUUCAGGUUUGUACAACAGCUCAAAAGCUUAAAUGAUCAGAGUUGUGCAUAUGCUUGGUCUGAGUUCUGGAUUUUCCUGAGCAUGCUUUGCCACUGACCAGAACAUUUGACGUAAUGACCUCCACAUGAACCCCAGGGGUCCAUCUGCAGCAGAACAGCAAGUGGUGAGCUCAAUUCUGUCAGGAUCAUUGCAGAGGAACAACAGCUUCCAGGAGCUGGUUGCCCACUCAAGAAGGCUCGCACAGAGUAGUUACUCAAGUGAUCUACCUUAUAACCCUUCUAUUUCUUACAAGCUUAAGUUCACAUUAUAUUUUUUUCGUCGCAGGAGCUGUUAUAAAGUUACCGAUCACGUUUUUUAUAGCUUCAGUUCUAGAAAUAUAAAAAAUAUUUAUUUCA